RNAcentral lists this ribosomal RNA (266 nucleotides) under uncultured bacterium. RNAcentral describes it as "partial 16S ribosomal RNA". It matches the Rfam family "Archaeal small subunit ribosomal RNA", at positions 474 to 738 of the family's 1478-position model. The record is from RNAcentral.
UACCAGCACCCCGAGUGGUCGGGACGUUUAUUGGGCCUAAAGCAUCCGUAGCCGGUUCUACAAGUCUUCCGUUAAAUCCAGCUGCUUAACAGAUGGGCUGCGGAAGAUACUAUGGAGCUAGGAGGCGGGAGAGGCAAGCGGUACUCGAUGGGUAGGGGUAAAAUCCGUUGAUCCAUUGAAGACCACCAGUGGCGAAGGCGGCUUGCCAGAACGCGCUCGACGGUGAGGGAUGAAAGCUGGGGGAGCAAACCGGGAUUAAGAAACCC